GAAUGCUGACAUAAGUAACGAUAAAGCGGGUGAAAAGCCCGCUCGCCGGAAGACCAAGGGUUCCUGUCCAACGUUAAUCGGGGCAGGGUGAGUCGACCCCUAAGGCGAGGCCGAAAGGCGUAGUCGAUGGGAAACGGGUUAAUAUUCCCGUACUUGGUGUUACUGCGAAGGGGGGACGGAGAAGGCUAUGUUGGCCGGGCGACGGUUGUCCCGGUUUAAGCGUGUAGGUGUGUGUUCCAGGUAAAUCCGGUUCACUUUAACACUGAGGCGUGAUGACGAGGCACUACGGUGCUGAAGUAACAAAUGCCCUGCUUCCAGGAAAAGCCUCUAAGCAUCAGGUAACAUCAAAUCGUACCCCAAACCGACACAGGUGGUCAGGUAGAGAAUACCAAGGCGCUUGAGAGAACUCGGGUGAAGGAACUAGGCAAAAUGGUGCCGUAACUUCGGGAGAAGGCACGCUGACACGUAGGUGAAGUGAUUUACUCAUGGAGCUGAAGUCAGUCGAAGAUACCAGCUGGCUGCAACUGUUUAUUAAAAACACAGCACUGUGCAAACACGAAAGUGGACGUAUACGGUGUGACGCCUGCCCGGUGCCGGAAGGUUAAUUGAUGGGGUCAGCGCAAGCGAAGCUCCUGAUCGAAGCCCCGGUAAACGGCGGCCGUAACUAUAACGGUCCUAAGGUAGCGAAAUUCCUUGUCGGGUAAGUUCCGACCUGCACGAAUGGCGUAAUGAUGGCCAGGCUGUCUCCACCCGAGACUCAGUGAAAUUGAACUCGCUGUGAAGAUGCAGUGUACCCGCGGCAAGACGGAAAGACCCCGUGAACCUUUACUAUAGCUUGACACUGAACAUUGAGCCUUGAUGUGUAGGAUAGGUGGGAGGCUUUGAAGUGUGGACGCCAGUCUGCGUGGAGCCGACCUUGAAAUACCACCCUUUAAUGUUUGAUGUUCUAACGUGGACCCGUGAUCCGGGUUGCGGACAGUGUCUGGUGGGUAGUUUGACUGGGGCGGUCUCCUCCUAAAGAGUAACGGAGGAGCACGAAGGUUGGCUAAUCCUGGUCGGACAUCAGGAGGUUAGUGCAAUGGCAUAAGCCAGCUUGACUGCGAGCGUGACGGCGCGAGCAGGUGCGAAAGCAGGUCAUAGUGAUCCGGUGGUUCUGAAUGGAAGGGCCAUCGCUCAACGGAUAAAAGGUACUCCGGGGAUAACAGGCUGAUACCGCCCAAGAGUUCAUAUCGACGGCGGUGUUUGGCACCUCGAUGUCGGCUCAUCACAUCCUGGGGCUGAAGUAGGUCCCAAGGGUAUGGCUGUUCGCCAUUUAAAGUGGUACGCGAGCUGGGUUUAGAACGUCGUGAGACAGUUCGGUCCCUAUCUGCCGUGGGCGCUGGAGAACUGAGGGGGGCUGCUCCUAGUACGAGAGGACCGGAGUGGACGCAUCACUGGUGUUCGGGUUGUCAUGCCAAUGGCACUGCCCGGUAGCUAAAUGCGGAAGAGAUAAGUGCUGAAAGCAUCUAAGCACGAAACUUGCCCCGA
RNAcentral lists this ribosomal RNA (1527 nucleotides) under Salmonella enterica subsp. enterica serovar Dublin. RNAcentral's name for it is "partial 23S ribosomal RNA". It matches the Rfam family "Bacterial large subunit ribosomal RNA", at positions 1292 to 2802 of the family's 2925-position model. Lineage: Bacteria; Pseudomonadati; Pseudomonadota; Gammaproteobacteria; Enterobacterales; Enterobacteriaceae. The record is from RNAcentral.